RNAcentral lists this ribosomal RNA (581 nucleotides) under Scheffersomyces sp. UFMG-CM-Y365. RNAcentral describes it as "eukaryotic LSU rRNA". It matches the Rfam family "Eukaryotic large subunit ribosomal RNA", at positions 51 to 655 of the family's 3401-position model. The record is from RNAcentral. Lineage: Eukaryota; Fungi; Ascomycota; Pichiomycetes; Serinales; Debaryomycetaceae.
CGGAGGAAAAGAAACCAACAGGGAUUGUCUCAGUAACGGCGAGUGAAGCGACAAAAGCUCAAAUUUGAAAUCUGGCACCUUCGGUGUCCGAGUUGUAAUUUGAAGAAGGUAACUUUGGUUUUGGCUCUUGUCUAUGUUCCUUGGAACAGGACGUCACAGAGGGUGAGAAUCCCGUGCGAUGAGAUGCCCAAUUCCAUGUAAAGUGCUUUCGAAGAGUCGAGUUGUUUGGGAAUGCAGCUCUAAGUGGGUGGUAAAUUCCAUCUAAAGCUAAAUAUUGGCGAGAGACCGAUAGCGAACAAGUACAGUGAUGGAAAGAUGAAAAGAACUUUGAAAAGAGAGUGAAAAAGUACGUGAAAUUGUUGAAAGGGAAGGGCUUGAGAUCAGACUUGAUAUUUUGUAUGUUUUACUCUCGGGUGGAGCCUCUACAGUUUAUCGGGCCAGCAUCAGUUUGGAUGGUAGGAUAAUGACAUUGGAAUGUGGCUCUUCUUGAGUGUUAUAGCCCUUGUUGAUACUGCCUAUCUAGACUGAGGACUGCGUCUUUGACUAGGAUGCUGGCAUAAUGAUUUUAAGCCGCCCGUCUU